This 69-nucleotide transfer RNA is filed under the name Arborophila ardens (Hainan partridge). RNAcentral describes it as "tRNA-His". It matches the Rfam family "tRNA". Rfam says of the family: Transfer RNA (tRNA) molecules are approximately 80 nucleotides in length. Their secondary structure includes four short double-helical elements and three loops (D, anti-codon, and T loops). Lineage: Eukaryota; Metazoa; Chordata; Aves; Galliformes; Phasianidae. The record is from RNAcentral.
GUAAGCAUAGUUUACCCAAAACAUUAGAUUGUGAUUCUAAAAAUAGGAGUUUAAACCCCCUUGCUCACC